Molecule: long non-coding RNA, 228 nt
Organism: Leopardus geoffroyi (Geoffroy's cat)
Lineage: Eukaryota; Metazoa; Chordata; Mammalia; Carnivora; Felidae
Exons: 2
Source: RefSeq, a predicted model, not a curated record
AUGGUGUCAAACAUUUGGGGAUGCGACCCUUAAGAAGAAUCAGGGAGGCAGGUUGGAAGGAGUCAAGAGUCAGAAUCCUCAGAAACAAAGCAGAAGACAUCACCAGAAGGAAUCUGGAUCUUUGAUCCCCACUUAUUCCCAGUCUGCAGGAUCCAGGUAAGACUGUAUCUUUACUUUCUUGGUACCCCCCAGAACUGGGUUUAAUAAAUACUUGCCGAGCAGAAUUAA